Molecule: long non-coding RNA, 895 nt
Organism: Balaenoptera musculus (blue whale)
Lineage: Eukaryota; Metazoa; Chordata; Mammalia; Artiodactyla; Balaenopteridae
Exons: 3
Source: RefSeq, a predicted model, not a curated record
UGCGAUGCUCCGGGAGGACUUGGGACAGGCGCUGGGCGGGGUUUCGCCGUUCCGCGGAACGCCGGGAAGGGGUCACUUUCAGAUGAAGGUUCCGGUUCCGGUGCGGGCAGAGGUUGCGUUGCCACGGCAGCGCGGUUGGCUGGCCGCUGGUUCUUGCGUUCCGGGUGGUGGCUGGGCUGGAGCAGGCUUGGAUCCGCCGUUCCUGGCUUAGGCGAGCUUCCCGGAGCUUCAGUAAGGCCGCGGCUGUUCGCGGCGGAAGCAGGGACUGCGCCGGCCUCUGGCGGCCAGGCCUGCCCGGGGCUACGGCGUCGGGGCCCGGGCCGUGUGUCGCAGCCCUCCUGUGGUCCCGCUGCCCCCGUGGGAGCAGAGGCCCAGACCCCUUCCCGUGGUUCCCGCCUCUGCAGCGCGAUUAUUCCACUAAAACAACUUUGAUUUUUAAAGUUUGUAAAGAGCUCUCGUCUGUGUGAUCGGGGCUUCGCUGACUUUCCAGCCGACCUAAGCCCCUGGGCCUGGGCCCAGGAAAGGUUUGUUGAAUGGGGAACUAAGAAAGGAAUUGGUUCGUUCGACAGACGUUUCCUGAGCAGCUGCUGCGUGCAGGGCACGGUGCCGGCGCGGGACCUGUGCCCAGAGCUUGAGAAAUGAGAAGCAGAGUCAUUGAUUCCAGGUAAAUCAGAGGAACAAACAUCAUACAGAAAUAUACAGGACAGUAAUAUACAGGAAGCAACGUGAUGUCGAAGCUUAACUGUUGUUUCAAAAAUCCAGCAUCUGGUGUACGUAACAGUAGGGGCUAUAUUGUUUGCAAAGUCACCUAACUUUUACUCAUACUUAUGUUCUGAUCCCACAUGCUGCAGAGCAACUAAGCCCGUGCACCACAACUACUGAGCCUGUGCCCUAG